Unclassified non-coding RNA from Otolemur garnettii (small-eared galago), 102 nucleotides. It matches the Rfam family "Y RNA". Rfam says of the family: Y RNAs are components of the Ro ribonucleoprotein particle (Ro RNP), in association with Ro60 and La proteins. The Y RNAs and Ro60 and La proteins are well conserved, but the function of the Ro RNP is not known. In humans the RNA component can be one of four small RNAs -- hY1, hY3, hY4 and hY5. Lineage: Eukaryota; Metazoa; Chordata; Mammalia; Primates; Galagidae. The record is from Ensembl.
GGCUGGUCUGAGCACAGUGGUGUAUACAACUAAUCGAUCACAACCAGUUACAGAUUCCUUUGCUCCUUUUUCACUACCACUGCUUCACUCGACUAGCCUUUA